Molecule: long non-coding RNA, 840 nt
Organism: Cimex lectularius (bed bug)
Lineage: Eukaryota; Metazoa; Arthropoda; Insecta; Hemiptera; Cimicidae
Exons: 3
Source: RefSeq, a predicted model, not a curated record
AAGUUAGGAUGAAGUAACUAUAGGUUUGGUAGUAUUGCUGAUGAUGCUGGAAGCUAUUGUGGGACAGCAGUUGUGUCAUGAGUUCACUGGGUGAGAUAAGCAUUGCUGACAUGGCUGAUGUGUCCAACACAUAGCAACAAGAAAAAAAUCUAAGUAUCUUGGCCAACAAAGACAAGAGAUGGCUUUGACAUGUCGGCUCCAGUAGACUUGGCUAUUUGCCUAAGUUCUUCCUCGAGCUUCUCAUCGCUCACGUUAACCAGUUGCGUUGCAAGAGGCUCCCAGCUCUGUUCGAGCAUUUCACCAAGAGGAUCAAUCAGCUUGACUCCAUUAUCUGGUUCAGGGUUGUGUGACGCAGUAAUCAUCAACCCGAUCGCUGCUGAGCCUUUUACUCUUGAACGAAGAGAAGCAAGAAGACCCAUGCGAAAAACAAGGUUUAAAAAGUACGGAAUAUUAGAGGCUGGAGAUUCUAAAAACUAAGGGGUUUUUCUUACAAAAUGGAUCUGAGAGGGGGCGUGACCUUAACUGAAAGUUAACUGAAACUCACGAAUCGCCGACAAAGUUACGAUUGUACCGUACCGUAUUGAAUUGAGAUAAUCUGAAAGGUUUGUUUAUGCAUACCGUUUAUCUUUACAAAAUUGCAUGGCAAUAAAAUUCGUAUUAACAUACAUAAAUAUAAACUAUUUAUCUGUAUUUUUUUAUUUUACAUUAUAUUGAUUUAUUGAUGAAUAUGUAAUAUACUGUAUUAAAAUAAUACAGUACUAUACUUAUAUUUAAGAUAUGCUUAUUAUAAAAAAAACAUGCAGCCCUAGCGAACAGAAUUGUAAAAUUUUAAAUAAAUAA